AUUGAACGCUGGCGGCAGGCUUAACACAUGCAAGUCGAGCGAGCGGCGGACGGGUGAGUAAUGUCUGGGAAACUGCCUGAUGGAGGGGGAUAACCACUGGAAACGGUAGCUAAUACCGCAUUUCACCGGAUGUGCCCAGUUGGGAUUAGCUAGUAGGUGGGGUAAUGGCUCACCUGGGAGACGAUCCCUAGCUGGUCUGAGAGGAUGACCAGCCACACUGUAACUGAGACACGGUCCAGACUCCUACGAGAGGCAGCAGUGGGGAAUAUUGCACGAUGGGCGCAAGCCUGCUGCAGCAAUGCCGCGUGUGUGAAGAAGGCCUUCGGGUUGUAAAGCACUUUCAGCGAGGAGGCGUUACUCGAAGAAGAAGCACCGGCUAACUCCGUGCCAGCAGCCGCGGUAAUUC
Molecule: ribosomal RNA, 406 nt
Filed under: uncultured bacterium
Lineage: Bacteria
Description: partial 16S ribosomal RNA
Rfam family: Bacterial small subunit ribosomal RNA
Source: RNAcentral